RNAcentral lists this transfer RNA (65 nucleotides) under Silvestritermes holmgreni. RNAcentral's name for it is "tRNA-His". It matches the Rfam family "tRNA". From Rfam's summary of the family: Transfer RNA (tRNA) molecules are approximately 80 nucleotides in length. Their secondary structure includes four short double-helical elements and three loops (D, anti-codon, and T loops). Lineage: Eukaryota; Metazoa; Arthropoda; Insecta; Blattodea; Termitidae. RNAcentral also lists the same sequence under 1 other name. The record is from RNAcentral.
AUCUAAAUAGUUUAAGUUAAAAUAUUGGUUUGUGGUGCCGAUGAUAUAUAAAUAUAUUUUGGAUU